UCGGGAAUAUUGCGCAAUGGAGGAAACUCUGACGCAGUGACGCCGCGUAUAGGAAGAAGGUUUUCGGAUUGUAAACUAUUGUCAUUAGGGAAGAUAAAAGACUGUACCUAAGGAGGAAGCCCCGGCUAACUAUGUGCCAGCAGCCGCGGUAAUACAUAGGGGGCAAGCGUUAUCCGGAAUUAUUGGGUGUAAAGGGUGCGUAGACGGAAGAACAAGUUGGUUGUGAAAUCCCUCGGCUCAACUGAGGAACUGCAACCAAAACUAUUCUCCUUGAGUGUCGGAGAGGAAAGUGGAAUUCCUAGU
This 303-nucleotide ribosomal RNA is filed under the name uncultured bacterium. Its description in RNAcentral is "bacterial SSU rRNA". It matches the Rfam family "Bacterial small subunit ribosomal RNA", at positions 355 to 674 of the family's 1533-position model. The record is from RNAcentral.